UUUAAUUUUGCUGCCUGCAAUUUGCUGUGUUUCCAAGGGCAAGAGGAAGGAUUCACGCAGCUGAAACUUCAUCCUUAGAAAAAGGAGUUGGAAAGAGAGAGAAAACUACAAUUUUAAAAGAAGUAGUUCCUGAGUUCAGGCAGAGGAUAUAAAGGUGGAUGGAAAUAGAAAAUACUAUCCUGAGUGAGAUAAACCAGACCCAAAAAUAUGAAUAUGGUAUGUACUCACCCAUUAGUGGAUUCUAGCGAUAAACAAAGGACAUUAAGCCCAUAGUUCAUGAUCCUAGAAAAGCUAAGUAUUAAGAUGUACCCAAAUAAAGGUAUAUAUAGAUCCUCCUGGAAAUUGGAAGCAGACAAGAUUGCCAGGCAAAAGUUGGGAGCAUGGGGGCAGGGGGUAUAGGGCAGGGGAGAGGGGGAGAAAAAGGGGGAAAAGGGAGGGUUGGGGAGAGCCUGUGGGAGUAAGACAGUUGAGAUGGAGGAAGGGCGGAUAUGAGAGUAGGGACGGAGAUAUCUUAACUGAAGGAGCAAUUUUGGGGUUGGCAAGAGGCUUGCCUCUGGAGGGGUUCCUAGGAUUCCAAGGGGAUGACCCCAGCUAGGACCCUGGGCAGUGGAGGAAAGGGUGCCUGAACUGGUCUUGUCCAGUAAUCAGACUGAUGACUAUCUUAAAUAUCACCAUAGAACCUUCGUCCAGCGAUGGAUGGAUGGAGACAGAGACAAAAUUUAAGGAAUAAAGGUAGAAACAAAUCUUUGCUUAAGGUUACUAUGAUAAAAAUAAAUCAACUCAUAUAAUUAAUAGAAAUAUGUUUAUUAUUGCCUUAUUUUCAUGCCUGAAUAUUAAAACAUGGAAACGACUAAACAUAUUUAUGUAUGUAUACAGACACACAAGAACACACACACAUACAUUCUCAGUAAGCUAUGCUCAUUGAGUUUUUUCUUGAGAAUAUAUAAAACAACUUGAUAGAAACAACUGAAAGAAAAGUACAUACAUAUCUAAAUUUAUCUAUGUGAAAUAAGUAGCUAUCAUGUUAAUUAAAAAAAACGUGUUUUAGGCAGGGCAGUGGUUUUGCACGCCUUUAAUCCCAGCACUCGGGAGACAGAGACAGGCAGAUCAGGCCAGCCUGGUCUACGGAGAAACCCUGACUCGAAAAAAAAAAAAGUGUUUUAGGUUCAUUUCUGUUGCUGUCAUGAAUAUUCUGACAAAUGUAAAGGAGAAAGUGUGUAUUUGACUUAUGAUUUCAAGUUACAAUCCAUCAUUUUGUGGACAUCAAGGAAGGAACUUGACACACCUAAUUACAAACACAGCAAAAAACAGGUAGAACAAAAGAUCCAUAUAUGGUUACUGCUCAGCUCAUAUUCUGUACUCAUAUAUAGUUCAGAACCCAAACCUGGGGAAUCUUGCCAGCCACAGUGGGCUGAGUCUUCCAAAAUCAUUACUCAUAACACUAUACCGCAGAUAUGCCUACAGGACAUGAAGAUCUACACAGUCCCUGUCUUAGGGUUUCUUUUUUUUUUUUUUUCUUAUAAAGUAAUUUAUUUUGAGCUGCAGCCUGGGUUCUCAAAGAGCUUCCCAAGUAUUGCCUAAUACAUCUUUAUCCACGAAAUCAUCAUUGUCUCAGUGACAGAAAAAUGAAGGCUCAAAAUUGUUACGUGUCCCAUGCAGUGUCCGGCUCUGUCAUAGACCCCCUUGCUUGUAUAGUUUUUUUUUAUUUUAUUUUAAAUUUAUUUAUUUAUUUAUUAAAGAUUUCUGCCUCCUCCCCUCCACCGCCUCCCAUUUCCCUCCCCCUCCCCCAAUCAAGUCUCCCUCCCUCUUCAGCCCAAGAGCAAUCAGGGUUCCCUGCCCUGUGGGAAGUCCAAGGACCACCCACCUCCAUCCAGGUCUAGUAAGGUGAGCAACCAAACUGCCUAGGCUCCCACAAAGCCAGUAUGUCUUAGGGUUUCUAUUGCUGUGAAGAAACACCAUGGCCAUAGCAACUCUUAUAAAAGAAAAAUGUUAAAUUGGGGGUAGAUUACAGUUUCAAAGGUUUAGUCCAUUAGCCUCCUGGUGGGACAUGGUGGCAUAUAGGCAGACAUGGUGCUGGAGAAGAUGAGAGAGCUAUAUCUUGAUUAGCAGGCAAUGGGACAUGAAGUGGGACACUGAUGUAGCUUGACCCUUAAGAGACCUCAAAGCCAACCCUAACAGUAGCACACUUCCUUUAUUAAGGACACAUCUACUCCAACAAAGUCACACAUCCUAAUAGUACUAUUCUCUGUUGAGGAUCAUUUUCUUUUAAACUACCACAGUCCAUUAUUGGUACUAACUUCUUUGGUAAAUCAAGAUGUGUUUUAGUUUACAUCUAAAACUGACAGUCAGAGAUGGUAAUGAGAAAAUUUAAUAUAAAAUUUUCAGAGUAAUGACAUUAAAUUAAGGUGUUUACUUUUUCAGUCACAGAGAAUAACAUUUACAUUUUAAUGAAUCCAACAAUACUGAGCACUAAACAUUAAAAUAAUUUUUCGGAACAUAAUGCAAAGACUACUUUCUUUUCAUCAGCUAUGUGUUGAAAAGGAUUACUAUAAUUAGCAUUUAUAUUAAUUAUUGAAUGGUCAUAACUGUGACACAAUGCUAUGAAAUAGAAAAGCAGGAACUUUUUGCCUUUAAGAUGCCAUAAUUUAGAAGACAGUUGGGAGAGAACAUGGUGAAUUGAAGUUUGUGAACUCAGUAGGAAUGCUGAUCUCUAUAUUAUGAGUAUUUACAUUAUGUACCACUCCUCAUAAAAAAUCUGAUACUAGAGAAAGUAUUGACUGGAACAUAUCAGAUAAAAUUUAAUGAUCUUUUUUGUUUUAAUGUCUCUUUGUAGGAUUCAAGCACUCCUCAAUCUCACUUAAUAAGCUAGGAAGACUUUGAACCCUCCUGUUCUGCUGUGUCUAUUUAUUUUUAAGUGCUAUUAUUACCACCAAGUGACAGCAUCCUUCAAAGUAGAUUGAAUGGGUUAUUAUCAUAUAAAGAUUGAAAAAUUAGUUUUUAAUUUUUUAAAACUUUUACUGUUAUUUUGUUAAAGUUUGAGUGUAAAUUCAAUGGUGAAAUCUUCCUAUUGCCCUACCAUUUGUUAAAAUGGUCUUCACAGAUACAUUUGUGAUGAUGAUGAUGAUGAUGAUGAUGAUGAUGAUGAUGAUGAUGGUGGUGGUGGUGAUGACAGCAAUGAUGAUAUAUAUUCUGUUCAAAGCUUAGAGUUCUUUAGUCUCUUUUUCUCUGUACCAUGGCCACUUAUUGCCUCUGAAUUAACUUAGUUGAAAUAGAAACUUUUCAGAUAAAGGUUCAGAGAUACCUUGAUUUGUGGUUACAAUCAUUCCUCCCACAGGUCAGUUAUUUCUUUGUAAGUUGUUAGGAAUUCUAGUCCCAUCUACUCUCAAAACUGUAGAUGUUAUUGCCAUUGCACUUGAUUACUCUCCACAAACUGAUUUUAAAACCCUGUUGAUUUAAAAAAUCCUGUUGCUGUUGCCAUCAAUGUGGAGAAAUCAAUCUAUUACUGACUUGGAAUCUCCAUCCUUACUGGCUAGCUUUCUUGGUGCUACAAGGUGCAUACACACUACCACAUAAGAAAAGUAACCAUCAAUUAUACCCAGAUAUGGACUAUCUGAGAUAGAGCGAGGGAAGGCCUGAAAAUACAUUCUUACUGGUGCAGCAUUCUGAGAGUAACUACCCAUUUUUCUGAUUAGAUUUAACAACUGAUCAAAAUUCAGAUUUGUGGAGUACAGUCUCAAAGGCUCAAAGGAUACACCUACAACUUAUCCCAUGUACCUAUGACUCAGGGAUAAUUGAUAGUGAUGGAGUGAAAAAAAUGUAAGAGGAUCAGGGAUAAGUUUUGGAAAUAAAUGUUGGAGGAGAUCUUUGUUAUCUGUUGAAGAUAGGGCACACAGAUACUGCAGAAGGUUUUCUGCUAGUAUUGGUGCUGAGAAUGGAAAUGAUUAGAUCUGGAGGAACAGAGAAGAGAUGUAGAUCUGCCUUCAGCCUACAUGUUUCCCUGACUAGAAAGAACCUUUUGGUAAUAGGGUUUUCCGGCUAAUGUUGUGACUUUGAAAGAAAACAAUAAGCUGCAGGAGAAUAGAAGUGGAAGAUCUAUGGGAUCCAUAGUAGAUGGGAAGGGGGUGACAGGAUGGCCGUCACACGGUUGCCUUUUGAAGUGCAACGAAGAAGAAUAAUCAAUUGUCAAUGAUUCCCUGUGGAGCAGCUGUGGUUAAAUCUUGCUGCAGAGAUGGGGAUGAGACAAAGAGCUUUUAUUUGGAAGCACAGAGCAAGCACAGACCUUUUUAAAGGAUUCUUCAUAAGAAAAGCUUCCUAAUUUAAAAAAGUUGAAAUGAAUAGAGUAUCUUUAAUAUAUCAAUGACAAGACAAAUAUGAACAUACACAUACAUGAUUAUAGUAUGUUUUUUUAUUUCAUAAAAGAGAAAAGUGAGUAAGUGCCAGGGAAUUUCUAGUACAGUCAUAUCAAUUUGCUCAAUGUAAAGCAACCUGUGAUAAAUAGCAAGCAAGAUUCUCUGUCCUAUUUUUUCUCUUUUUAAUUUUUUUAUUAAUUUUAAUUUUUUAUUGAGCUAUACAUAUAUAUACUCUCCCAUUCGCUUCACCCCUCUCUCCUUCUACACUCUCCCAUCACCCCCCAUGGUGGCAAUUUACCCAGGAGAUCUUGUCUUUUACUCUUUCCUAUGUAGUUCUAUGUGUGUUUAUAUUAAAGACUUUUGUUUUCUAGGUUCUCUGGGGUUGUGGGCUAAAGACUGUUAUUUCUUUGUUUUAUGUCUAAAAGUCACUUAUGAGUGAGUAAAUAUUAUAUUUGCCUUUCUGGAUCUGGGUUACUGUCGAGGACUGGCCAUGACAAAAAAACUUCUUACCAAGGUAGAGAAGUGGUAAUUGAAGAAAUAUAAGUAAAUAAUAUGAAGACACAAUAAAUAAGACAGAAACUAUAGCAAGUAUCAGGAAGGCAUUCUAGUCACUCAAUUCCUGAAAUGUUGGAAUCCUUGUAUUUAUUUUUCCAUAGUUUUUAUACUCAACAUAAAUGGGGCGGAGGAGAAUGUAAAAAAAGAUUUUAUUAACAUUUUUUUUCUUUUUUCUUUAUUUAUUUAUUAAAGAUUUUUGCCUCCUCCCGGCUACCGCCUCCAAUUUCCCUCCACCUCCCCCAAUCAAGUCCCCCUCCCAUAUCAGCCUGAAGAGCAGUCAGGGUUCCCUACCCUGUGGGAAGUCCAAGGACCUCCCACCUCCUUCCAGGUUUAGUAGGGUCUAGAGAUGGCAAAAUUAGAAGGUUUCAAUCUCCUGGAUUAUGUAGAUGACGUAGAAAAGGCCAACAUUGGAUCAAAGGAUGUAGAUUGUAAAAGACAGACAAAGCAAUCUUGUACCAUUAGGAAACUCCUUGGGGACCUCAUGCAGGCCCCCAUGUCGAACAUGUUUGAGACUUUCCCAGUCAUUGUAGAGAAAAUAUCUCACCAAGAAAAUUAAAAAUCCAGGGCCUGCUGUAAAGAACCAUACUGUUAUGGAUGAUAGACUAGACAUGGAGGAUGAAUUUAAAAAAA
Alexandromys fortis (reed vole) is the source of this 5534-nucleotide long non-coding RNA. RefSeq lists it as uncharacterized. NCBI's taxonomy places the organism in Eukaryota, Metazoa, Chordata, Mammalia, Rodentia, Cricetidae. The transcript is spliced from 3 exons. The record is from RefSeq and is a predicted model, not a curated record.